GGUCUUUUAUAAAAAUUUGUCUGUAUGUAGAGUUUCUUUUGUCUUCCAUACACCUUUUUUUCUUGACUAUUACAAAAGUUUAACAAAAAGUUUAAAAUGAAAAUAUAUAUGAUUCACUUUUUUUGGUCCUCAUGGUAUGACUUAAGUUUUUUUUUUUUUUUUGAGAUGGAGUUUCAUUCCUGUUGCCCAGGCUGGAGUGAAAUGGCGUGGUCUCGGCUGACUGCAACUUCUGCCUCCUGGGUUCAAGCAGUUCUCCUGUCUCAGCCUCCUGAGUAGCUGGGAUUAUAGGUACCCACCACCACACGUGGCUAAUUUUUGUAUUUUCAGUAGAGAUGGUGUUUCACCACGUUGGCCAGGCUGGUCUCCAACUCCUGACCUCAGGUAAUCCACCCACCUUGGCCUCCCAAAGGUCUGGGAUAACAGGCAUGAGCCACUGUGCCUGCCCUCAAGUUUUUAAUGAUAGUAAAACAGGCCCUUUGGAAAGAGGAUGUGGAUUUCUCUACUGAUCAGCCAUUAUUUGUACUUACUCCAAGGCAUCUAACAUGAUGAUACUGUUUCCUCAUAUUACCUCCAUUCCAAUGUUGUUCUCCUGCCCACUAGUUGGAUUUUUGUACCUAAUUCUUUCUUCAGCCUUUUCUCCCCUGCAUGGUUUCUAGCUUCUGUCUUAAUGUUAGGAAGCAUAGUUUGUCUCAGGGAGAUGCUCAUCAACGCAGUGGCCUACGUGUUGUUGCAUGUCCUGGCACACAGCUUCUGCAAGCUACUGGUUCAUGGAGCGGAAGGUCUUUGGCAAGCGAUUGGUUCUAUUUCCCACAGGUUGCUGGGGAAGUAUUCACUUACGUCCUGAAACACUGGACCACUUCACCAGGAAAAAAAGAUGCGAACUGACUCUUCAGUGAUUACAGUUUGGUCCUAUUUCUUGUUUAUGUAGCAGAAGUUUCUCUGUUUUUGACAUAAGGAUGGAACCUAUUUUUCAGAAAUGAUGCAGAUAUCCCCAUAUCUGUCAUAUUUUAAAAUCGUUUGUUUUUCUGUUGGGUAGGGGAGAUUGUGGGUAAGUUUGGAGGUCAGUGUUCGUGUGGCUGUCUUUCUUGGAAUAAAUUUCAUUUUGUUUUGAUGGUGAAUUGUAGGAGUGGCAGGUGCUUGGAAUUUUAAAAUUAAAAAAAUUUUGGCAUAAUUUCAGACUUCCAACACUUCCAUCUUUUGUUGUCUUCACGAUUUUGACAUUUUUACUGAGCACAGGCCAGCCAUUUUACAGAGUGAACUUCAAUUUAGAUUUUGUUUUCUGAUGUUCCCUCAUGAUUGGAGUUUUGUUAUACAUUUAAAAAAAUAUUUUAUUUUAUAUUUUUUUCUUAUCUUUUUUUUUUUUUAGAGGUGGAGUUUCACCAUAUUGGCAGACUGGUCUCGAAGUCCUGAUCUCAGGUGAUCCACCUGCCUCAGCCUCCCCAAGUGCUGGGAUUACAGGCGUGAGCCACCGCGCCUGGCCUAGUUAUACAUUUUUGGCAGCAAUAUCACAGAAACGAUGUUGUGUUCUUUUUUUUUUUUUUAAAGACGGGAUUUCACCAUAUUGGUCAGGCUGGUCUUAAACUCCCAACCUCAGGUGAUCCCCCGCCUUGGCCUCCAAAGUGCUUGGAUUAUAGGCGUGAGCCACCACGCCCGGCCUGAUGUUGUGUUCUUAAUGCUUUGUAUCAGGAGUUAUAUGAUGUCAGUUGACUUUUAUUACUUGGUUAAGGCAGUGCGUAACACUCUAAAGAUACUAUUUUUCUGUCUUUUUGGGGGAAUACCUUAUGGGGAGAUACAGUAAUACUAUGCAAUUAUCCUGUCCCCAUCAAAUUUUCAUCAUAUUGUGUUAGCUGCCGUUGGUGAUUCUUUCGUGAAUCAGUUAUUACUCUGCUCAUUUCCAAACAAUGAUUUUUUAAAAGGACAUCUUUACUGAGGUGUGACUGACAUGUAAAAAACUGUACAUAUUUAAUGUGUGCAACUUGAUGAGCAAUGACAUUCUAAUUCAUCAUUCCUUGUACAUUUAUUAGUUUGUAUUCUAAUAAAUAGAAUACAAUUACAUGUGAAUUCAUGUGAUAAGCAAUGACAUUCUAAUUCAUCAUUCCUUGUACAUUUAUUAAUUUGUAUUCUAUAAGGAAGAGCUUUUCUUUUUUUCUGAGUUGUAUCUCUGUGGAUUCAUAAAUUCUUGUUUUAGUCUGUUGGUUUUCAUCUGUUACUAUUAUUUAUUUUGAUGUUCUGAUUUGUUCAGAUUUGGCUCAUGAGAGCUCCUUCAAGAUUUCCUUUUUUUGAGAUGGAGUUUUCACUCUUGUUGCCCACGGUGGAGUGUGAUGGCGUGAUCUUGGCUCACCGCAACCUCUGCCUCCUGGAUUCAAGCAAUUCUCCUGCCUCAGCCUCCCAAGAAGCUGGGAUUACAGGCAUGUGCCACCAUGCCUGGCGAAUUUUGUAUUUUCAGUAGAGAUAGGAUUUUUCCAUUUUGGUCAGUCUGCUCUUGAACUACCGACCUCAGGUGAUCAGCCUGGCUUGGCCUCCCAAAGCGCUGAGAUUACAGCAUACUCCUUGCCCGUUCUCUUGUAUUUGAAGAGCCAACAGACAUUCAGAAUGGCGGGAACUUGGAGAGCAAGAAGAAUAGCCCCAGAUACGAGGUCUUUCAGGAAGAUGAACCCUCCUCUGCAGAAGCUGGAGCUGCCCCAGAGAGUCUGUUUGUGAUGAAGACAGAGGCCCAGCCUUCGACAUCCUCGCUGGCAAACACCUCAUUGACACAGUGAUUUCUGACAGUGGCUCAGGAAGUCAAACACGGGAAGACAAGGAUCCGGGGACCUGGGAUGCACCACCUUGGACCUCAGAGGCCCAAGUUUCAGCCACCCGGAUUGCAAAGGCUCAGGCCUGGAAAACCCAUGCUAU
Non-coding RNA from Callithrix jacchus (white-tufted-ear marmoset), 2895 nucleotides. The record is from RefSeq and is a predicted model, not a curated record. Lineage: Eukaryota; Metazoa; Chordata; Mammalia; Primates; Cebidae.